ACUUGCCCGCGCGGCCAUGUGUUGCGUG
This 28-nucleotide small RNA is filed under the name Bombyx mori (domestic silkworm). RNAcentral's name for it is "ovarian small RNA-11731". Lineage: Eukaryota; Metazoa; Arthropoda; Insecta; Lepidoptera; Bombycidae. The record is from RNAcentral.